GAUGAACGCUGGCGGCGUGCCUAAUACAUGCAAGUAGAACGCUGAAGGGAGGAGCUUGCUCUUUCCGGAUGAGUUGCGAACGGGUGAGUAACGCGUAGGUAACCUGCCUGGUAGCGGGGGAUAACUAUUGGAAACGAUAGCUAAUACCGCAUAACAGUAGAUGUUGCAUGAUAUCUACUUAAAAGGUGCAAUUGCACCACUACCAGAUGGACCUGCGUUGUAUUAGCUAGUUGGUGAGGUAACGGCUCACCAAGGCGACGAUACAUAGCCGACCUGAGAGGGUGAUCGGCCACACUGGGACUGGGACACGGCCCAGACUCCUACGGGAGGCAGCAGUAGGGAAUCUUCGGCAAUGGACGGAAGUCUGACCGAGCAACGCCGCGUGAGUGAAGAAGGUUUUCGGAUCGUAAAGCUCUGUUGUAAGAGAAGAACGAGUGUGAGAGUGGAAAGUUCACACUGUGACGGUAUCUUACCAGAAAGGGACGGCUAACUACGUG
This 497-nucleotide ribosomal RNA is filed under the name uncultured bacterium. RNAcentral's name for it is "partial 16S ribosomal RNA". It matches the Rfam family "Bacterial small subunit ribosomal RNA", at positions 28 to 507 of the family's 1533-position model. The record is from RNAcentral.